Molecule: long non-coding RNA, 248 nt
Filed under: Lytechinus variegatus (green sea urchin)
Lineage: Eukaryota; Metazoa; Echinodermata; Echinoidea; Temnopleuroida; Toxopneustidae
Description: uncharacterized LOC121419500
Source: RNAcentral
AUUAAUAUCAAUCUAAUGACAUUCCAUAGGAAUAAAAAUCCAGUGGGAGUCAGAAGUACAAAGUCAAAUACCAUUUGCACAUCACCAAGAGGUACAAUCUGAUGAGUAACAGGAUAUCUGAUCUAAAAGCUUGCCAGGUUUCACAAGCUGUUUGAGUAUCACCAGGGCAGAUCAAGAAGAAAUAUGAAGGCCAGGUUCAUAACAAGCAGUUUCUUCAUUGCAAUUACAGAUUUAAAAACUUGAAUGAA